This 468-nucleotide ribosomal RNA is filed under the name uncultured bacterium. RNAcentral's name for it is "partial 16S ribosomal RNA". It matches the Rfam family "Bacterial small subunit ribosomal RNA", at positions 28 to 507 of the family's 1533-position model. The record is from RNAcentral.
GACGAACGCUGGCGGCGGGCUUAACACAUGCAAGUCGAACGGCAAGGCCCUGCUAUUUUGCUCUUCUGGGUGGGCAAACGGGGGCGGAACACGUGAGUAACCUGCCCUUGACUUUGGGAUAACUUCAGGAAACGGGGGCUAAUACCAUAUAGCAUCUGCUGCUGCGUGGUGGGGGUUGGAAAUUCUGGGUGGGCGGGGAUGGACUCGCGGCUUAUCAGCUUGUUGGUGGGGGAGGGGCUUACCAAGGGUUUGACGGGUAGGCGGCCUGGGAGGGUGAACGGCCACCUUGGGACUGAGAGAGGGACCAGACUCCUACGGGAGGCAGCGGUGGGGAGUAUUGCCCAAUGGGAGGAAGCCGGAUGAAGCAACGCCGCGUGCGGGAUGACGGCCUUCGGGUUGUAAAACGCUUUCGCCUGUGACGCAGCGUGAGUGACGGUAAUGGGUAAAGAAGCACCGGCUAACUACGUG